This 1372-nucleotide ribosomal RNA is filed under the name uncultured bacterium. RNAcentral's name for it is "bacterial SSU rRNA". It matches the Rfam family "Bacterial small subunit ribosomal RNA", at positions 28 to 1381 of the family's 1533-position model. The record is from RNAcentral.
GAUGAACGCUGGCGGCGUGCCUAAUACAUGCAAGUCGAGCGAACGGACGAGAAGCUUGCUUCUCUGAUGUUAGCGGCGGACGGGUGAGUAACACGUGGAUAACCUACCUAUAAGACUGGGAUAACUUCGGGAAACCGGAGCUAAUACCGGAUAAUAUUUUGAACCGCAUGGUUCAAAAGUGAAAGACGGUCUUGCUGUCACUUAUAGAUGGAUCCGCGCUGCAUUAGCUAGUUGGUAAGGUAACGGCUUACCAAGGCAACGAUGCAUAGCCGACCUGAGAGGGUGAUCGGCCACACUGGAACUGAGACACGGUCCAGACUCCUACGGGAGGCAGCAGUAGGGAAUCUUCCGCAAUGGGCGAAAGCCUGACGGAGCAACGCCGCGUGAGUGAUGAAGGUCUUCGGAUCGUAAAACUCUGUUAUUAGGGAAGAACAUAUGUGUAAGUAACUGUGCACAUCUUGACGGUACCUAAUCAGAAAGCCACGGCUAACUACGUGCCAGCAGCCGCGGUAAUACGUAGGUGGCAAGCGUUAUCCGGAAUUAUUGGGCGUAAAGCGCGCGUAGGCGGUUUUUUAAGUCUGAUGUGAAAGCCCACGGCUCAACCGUGGAGGGUCAUUGGAAACUGGAAAACUUGAGUGCAGAAGAGGAAAGUGGAAUUCCAUGUGUAGCGGUGAAAUGCGCAGAGAUAUGGAGGAACACCAGUGGCGAAGGCGACUUUCUGGUCUGUAACUGACGCUGAUGUGCGAAAGCGUGGGGAUCAAACAGGAUUAGAUACCCUGGUAGUCCACGCCGUAAACGAUGAGUGCUAAGUGUUAGGGGGUUUCCGCCCCUUAGUGCUGCAGCUAACGCAUUAAGCACUCCGCCUGGGGAGUACGACCGCAAGGUUGAAACUCAAAGGAAUUGACGGGGACCCGCACAAGCGGUGGAGCAUGUGGUUUAAUUCGAAGCAACGCGAAGAACCUUACCAAAUCUUGACAUCCUUUGACAACUCUAGAGAUAGAGCUUUCCCCUUCGGGGGACAAAGUGACAGGUGGUGCAUGGUUGUCGUCAGCUCGUGUCGUGAGAUGUUGGGUUAAGUCCCGCAACGAGCGCAACCCUUAAGCUUAGUCGCCAUCAUUAAGUUGGGCACUCUAAGUUGACUGCCGGUGACAAACCGGAGGAAGGUGGGGAUGACGUCAAAUCAUCAUGCCCCUUAUGAUUUGGGCUACACACGUGCUACAAUGGACAAUACAAAGGGCAGCGAAACCGUGAGGUCAAGCAAAUCCCAUAAAGUUGUUCUCAGUUCGGAUUGUAGUCUGCAACUCGACUACAUGAAGCUGGAAUCGCUAGUAAUCGUAGAUCAGCAUGCUACGGUGAAUACGUUCCCGGGUCU